RNAcentral lists this ribosomal RNA (468 nucleotides) under uncultured bacterium. RNAcentral describes it as "partial 16S ribosomal RNA". It matches the Rfam family "Bacterial small subunit ribosomal RNA", at positions 28 to 507 of the family's 1533-position model. The record is from RNAcentral.
GACGAACGCUGGCGGCGUGCUUAACACAUGCAAGUCGAACGGAAAGGCCCUGCUUUUGUGGGGUGCUCGAGUGGCGAACGGGUGAGUAACACGUGAGUAACCUGCCCCUGACUUUGGGAUAACUUCAGGAAACUGGGGCUAAUACCGGAUAGGAGCUCCUGCUGCAUGGGGGGGGUUGGAAAGUUUCGGCGGUUGGGGAUGGACUCGCGGCUUAUCAGCUUGUUGGUGGGGUAGUGGCUUACCAAGGCUUUGACGGGUAGCCCGCCUGAGAGGGUGACCGGCCACAAUGGGACUGAGAUACGACGCAGUCUCCUACGGGAGGCAGCAGUGGGGAAUAUUGCACAAUGGGCGCACGCCUGAUGCAGCAACGCCGCGUGCGGGAUGACCGCCUUCGGGUUGUAAACCGAUUUCGCCUGUGACGAAGCGUGAUUGACGGUAAUGGAUAAAAAAGCACCGGCUAACUACGUG